ACGAACGCUGGCGGCGUGCUUAACCCAUGCAAGUCGAACGGAAAGGCCCUGCUUUUGUGGGGUGCUCGAGUGGCGAACGGGUGAGUAACACGUGAGUAACCUGCCCUUGACUUUGGGAUAACUUCAGGAAACUGGGGCUAAUACCGGAUAGGAGCUCCUGCUGCAUGGGGGGGGUUGGAAAGUUUCGGCGGUUGGGGAUGGACUCGCGGCUUAUCAGCUUGUUGGUGGGGUAGUGGCUUACCAAGGCUUUGACGGGUAGCCGGCCUGAGAGGGUGACCGGCCACAUGGGGACUGGGAUACGGCCCGGACUCCUACGGGAGGCAGCAGUGGGGAAUAUUGCACAAUGGGCGGAAGCCUGAUGCAGCAACGCCGCGUGCGGGAUGACGGCCUUCGGGUUGUAAACCGCUUUCGCCUGUGACGAGGCGUGAGUGACGGUAAUGGGUAAAGAAGCACCGGCUAACUACGU
This 466-nucleotide ribosomal RNA is filed under the name uncultured bacterium. RNAcentral's name for it is "partial 16S ribosomal RNA". It matches the Rfam family "Bacterial small subunit ribosomal RNA", at positions 29 to 506 of the family's 1533-position model. The record is from RNAcentral.